Gorilla gorilla gorilla (western lowland gorilla) is the source of this 109-nucleotide unclassified non-coding RNA. It matches the Rfam family "Y RNA". From Rfam's summary of the family: Y RNAs are components of the Ro ribonucleoprotein particle (Ro RNP), in association with Ro60 and La proteins. The Y RNAs and Ro60 and La proteins are well conserved, but the function of the Ro RNP is not known. NCBI's taxonomy places the organism in Eukaryota, Metazoa, Chordata, Mammalia, Primates, Hominidae. The record is from Ensembl.
GACUGGUCUGAAGGUAGUGAGUUAUCUGAAUUGAUUGUUCACAGUCACAGAUCAAACUCCUUGUUCUACUCUUUUCUCCCUUCUCAUUACUGCACUUGACUAGUCUUUU